UACGGGGGGGGCAAGCGUUGUUCGGAAUUACUGGGCGUAAAGGGCUCGUAGGCGGCCAACUAAGUCAGACGUGAAAUCCCUCGGCUUAACCGGGGAACUGCGUCUGAUACUGGAUGGCUCGAGUUUGGGAGAGGGAUGCGGAAUUCCAGGUGUAGCGGUGAAAUGCGUAGAUAUCUGGAGGAACACCGGUGGCGAAGGCGGCAUCCUGGACCAACACUGACGCUGAUGAGCGAAAGCCAGGGGAGCAAACAGG
Molecule: ribosomal RNA, 253 nt
Filed under: uncultured bacterium
Lineage: Bacteria
Description: partial 16S ribosomal RNA
Rfam family: Bacterial small subunit ribosomal RNA
Source: RNAcentral